RNAcentral lists this ribosomal RNA (497 nucleotides) under uncultured bacterium. Its description in RNAcentral is "partial 16S ribosomal RNA". It matches the Rfam family "Bacterial small subunit ribosomal RNA", at positions 28 to 507 of the family's 1533-position model. The record is from RNAcentral.
GAUGAACGCUGGCGGCGUGCCUAAUACAUGCAAGUCGAGCGAACAGACGAGGAGCUUGCUCCUCUGACGUUAGCGGCGGACGGGUGAGUAACACGUGGAUAACCUACCUAUAAGACUGGGAUAACUUCGGGAAACCGGAGCUAAUACCGGAUAAUAUAUUGAACCGCAUGGUUCAAUAGUGAAAGACGGUUUUGCUGUCACUUAUAGAUGGAUCCGCGCCGCAUUAGCUAGUUGGUAAGGUAACGGCUUACCAAGGCAACGAUGCGUAGCCGACCUGAGAGGGUGAUCGGCCACACUGGAACUGAGACACGGUCCAGACUCCUACGGGAGGCAGCAGUAGGGAAUCUUCCGCAAUGGGCGAAAGCUUGACGGAGCAACGCCGCGUGAGUGAUGAAGGUCUUCGGAUCGUAAAACUCUGUUAGUAGGGAAGAACAAAUGUGUAAGUAACUAUGCACGUCUUGACGGUACCUAAUCAGAAAGCCACGGCUAGCUACGUG